Sapajus apella (tufted capuchin) is the source of this 307-nucleotide long non-coding RNA. RefSeq lists it as uncharacterized. The record is from RefSeq and is a predicted model, not a curated record. The transcript is spliced from 3 exons. NCBI's taxonomy places the organism in Eukaryota, Metazoa, Chordata, Mammalia, Primates, Cebidae.
AUAAAUGGUGUUAGAAUAUUAGCCACAUGUAGGAGAAUGAAACUAGAUCCUUAUCUCUCACCUUCUACAAAAAUCAACUCAGGAUUAAGGAUUAAAACCUAAGAACUGCAAUUAUAAAAAUUCGAGACAGUAACAUUGGAAAAACCCUUCUAGACAUUGGCUUAGGCAAGGAUUUCCUGACCAAAACCCCAAAAGAAAAAGCAAUAAAAAGACAGAUAAAUAGCUGGGACCUAAUGAAACUAAAGAGCUUUUGCACUGCAAAAGGAACAGUCCAGCAGAGUAAACAGAGAACUCACAGAGUGAGAGC